Molecule: long non-coding RNA, 109 nt
Organism: Maniola jurtina (meadow brown)
Lineage: Eukaryota; Metazoa; Arthropoda; Insecta; Lepidoptera; Nymphalidae
Exons: 3
Source: RefSeq, a predicted model, not a curated record
UGUCAGAUAACCCUUUUAGUUUUAAAAGUCGUGCCCCAAAAGCUGAUCCACGCGUCUGGUGACCCAAGAACUGGCACUUAUUUUGCUCAACGGUUAAGCGCCAGUGUAC